GAGGGAGAGAGAGAGAGAGACGAGGGGCGGUAAUGAGGGCUGUGCAAGCAUUAAAGUUAGUUUUUGCUUGUUGGCCAUAACUUGUGUUUCAAUUUGUGGCCAGAAGAAAAGAGCUUUAAAAACCAUAGCAUACUUUUAUGCUAAUCGAGUCGUAAAACGAUAAAGCAGCCAAGUGCCUGCCCGCCUGUGUGUGUGGGCGAGCGUGUGCAGCCCACACACACACCAACUGUUAGCUGUGUGUGGGUUUUGCCUUUUAAAGGUCAGCAUGCGUAAUUAGUGAAAUUUGGCAUCGACGCUUAACAAAUGAAGGAAAGAACAUAUAAACGAAUGAGCUCAAGUGCAUGCUCACCAGGCACACACACACCAAUAGGGAACGUAUGUGUGUGUGUCUGUGUGUGUUUUUGUGUCUACUCAAAAUGAGGAACGUGCAGACAUGCACAACGCUCAACACAAUGCAAGUCGUCCGUGACGUACGACCAUCCGCUCAUUAGCAAAAAGCCAAACCCCCUUCUCAAUUGUUCUAAAUGCGACAGACACAACUGAAUGGAUGAAUGUGUGUGCGUGUCAGUUUUUGUGUGUGUGUGUGUGUGUGUG
This is a long non-coding RNA of Drosophila arizonae, 594 nucleotides long. The record is from RefSeq and is a predicted model, not a curated record. Lineage: Eukaryota; Metazoa; Arthropoda; Insecta; Diptera; Drosophilidae.